Molecule: ribosomal RNA, 119 nt
Filed under: Pistia stratiotes (water lettuce)
Lineage: Eukaryota; Viridiplantae; Streptophyta; Magnoliopsida; Alismatales; Araceae
Source: RNAcentral
GGGUGCGAUCAUACCAGCACCAAUGCACCGGAUCCCAUCAGAACUCCGAAGUUAAGCGUGCUUGGGCGAGAGUAGUACUAGGAUGGGUGACCUCCUGGGAAGUCCUCGUGUUGCACUCC